This 820-nucleotide ribosomal RNA is filed under the name bacterium NTN32. Its description in RNAcentral is "bacterial SSU rRNA". It matches the Rfam family "Bacterial small subunit ribosomal RNA", at positions 71 to 873 of the family's 1533-position model. The record is from RNAcentral.
UGAAGCAAGCUUGCUGCUUCGCUGACUAGUGGCGGACGGGUGAGUAAUGUCUGGGAAACUGCCUGAUGGAGGGGGAUAACUACUGGAAACGGUAGCUAAUACCGCAUAACGUCGCAAGACCAAAGAGGGGGACCUUCGGGCCUCUUGCCAUCGGAUGUGCCCAGAUGGGAUUAGCUAGUAGGUGGGGUAACGGCUCACCUAGGCGACGAUCCCUAGCUGGUCUGAGAGGAUGACCAGCCACACUGGAACUGAGACACGGUCCAGACUCCUACGGGAGGCAGCAGUGGGGAAUAUUGCACAAUGGGCGCAAGCCUGAUGCAGCCAUGCCGCGUGUAUGAAGAAGGCCUUCGGGUUGUAAAGUACUUUCAGCGGGGAGGAAGGNGAUGAGGUUAAUAACCUUGUCGAUUGACGUUACCCGCAGAAGAAGCACCGGCUAACUCCGUGCCAGCAGCCGCGGUAAUACGGAGGGUGCAAGCGUUAAUCGGAAUUACUGGGCGUAAAGCGCACGCAGGCGGUCUGUCAAGUCGGAUGUGAAAUCCCCGGGCUCAACCUGGGAACUGCAUUCGAAACUGGCAGGCUAAGUCUUGUAAGGGGGGUAGAAUUCCAGGUGUACGGUAAAUGCGUAAGAUCUGGAGGAAUACCGGUGCGAAGCGGCCCCUGGACAAAACUGACGCUCAGGUNCAAGCGUGGGGAGCAACAGGANUUAUCCUGGUAUCACCCUAACAUUUAUUGAGGUUGUGCCCUUAAGGCUNGUUCCGAACUACCUUNUCACCGCCUGGNACGGCCCGGGUAAUCAAUAUAUAGGGCCCAACGGGGAGUU